This 504-nucleotide ribosomal RNA is filed under the name uncultured Desulfobulbus sp. Its description in RNAcentral is "bacterial SSU rRNA". It matches the Rfam family "Bacterial small subunit ribosomal RNA", at positions 885 to 1382 of the family's 1533-position model. The record is from RNAcentral. Lineage: Bacteria; Pseudomonadati; Thermodesulfobacteriota; Desulfobulbia; Desulfobulbales; Desulfobulbaceae.
GCCAGCCCGCUCAGAAACUCAAAGGAAUUGACGGGGCCCGCACAAGCGGUGGAGCAUGUGGUUUAAUUCGAUGCAACGCGAAGAACCUUACCUGGUCUUGACAUCCCGGAGACCCUUAGGAAACUAGGGGGUGCUUCCAUCUGGAAGAAUCUGGAGACAGGUGCUGCAUGGCUGUCGUCAGCUCGUGUCGUGAGAUGUUGGGUUAAGUCCCGCAACGAGCGCAACCCUUGCCUUUAGUUGCCAGCAGUUCGGCUGGGCACUCUAAAGGGACUGCCGGUGUUAAACCGGAGGAAGGUGGGGAUGACGUCAAGUCCUCAUGGCCUUUAUGACCAGGGCUACACACGUACUACAAUGGCCGAUACAAAGGGCAGCGACACUGCGAGGUGAAGCCAAUCCCGUAAAAUCGGUCUCAGUCCGGAUUGGAGUCUGCAACUCGACUCCAUGAAGUUGGAAUCGCUAGUAAUCGUGGAUCAGCAUGCCACGGUGAAUACGUUCCCGGGCCUU